GGUGCAAAUCGGCUUAUCGCGGUUUCAUUUAAUGAAAGUGAGGAAAGUCCGGACAUCACAGAGUAGCCUGCUUCCUAACUGGAAGGCGUCAAUUCAAUUGAUGACAGCAAGUGCAGCAGAGAGUAAACUACCUCAUUGGAAACAAAGGGGAAAAGGUGAAAGGGUGGGGUAAGAGCCCACCAGUACAUUUGGCGACAAGUGUAGCUGGGUAAACCUCAGGCGAUGAAAGGUCAAAUAAACUUCGGUUUGAGGGCGACUCGUCCGAACGGAGAGGGUGGACUGCUUGAUCCCGUGAGUGAUUGCGGGGCUAGAUAAAUGAUAAGCUAUUACAGAAUCCGGCUUAUAGAUUUGCAUUACAU
RNAcentral lists this RNase P RNA (359 nucleotides) under bacterium SCSIO 12643. RNAcentral describes it as "RNase P RNA component class A". It matches the Rfam family "Bacterial RNase P class A". Rfam says of the family: Ribonuclease P (RNase P) is a ubiquitous endoribonuclease, found in archaea, bacteria and eukarya as well as chloroplasts and mitochondria. The record is from RNAcentral.